CCAGCAGCUGCGGUAAUUCCAGCUCUAAUAGCGUAUAUUCAAGUUGUUGCAGUUAAAAAGCUCGUAGUCGGAAUUCGGGUUCGGGCAGGCUUCUGACCUCUGGGAAGAUGGCAGGCUCGGAUCUUUCUGCCUUGUUUCUAUCUCGCACUUAACUGUUCGGGAUAGGGAUUAGGCCGUUUACUUUGAAAAAAUUAGAGUGUUCAAAGCAGGCCAACGCUUGAAUACAUUAGCAUGGAAUAAUGGAAUAGGACUUUGGUGCUAUUUCGUUGGUUUAUGGGACCGAAGUAAUGAUUAAUAGGGACAGUCGGGGGCAUUCGUACUCAACAGUCAGAGGUGAAAUUCUUGGAUUUGUUGGAGACGAACUACUGCGAAAGCAUUUGCCAAGGAUGUUUUCAUUGAUCAAGAACGAAAGU
This 413-nucleotide ribosomal RNA is filed under the name uncultured eukaryote. Its description in RNAcentral is "SSU rRNA". It matches the Rfam family "Eukaryotic small subunit ribosomal RNA", at positions 567 to 990 of the family's 1831-position model. The record is from RNAcentral.